GUGGGGAAUAUUGGACAAUGGGCGAAAGCCUGAUCCAGCCAUGCCGCGUGUGUGAAGAAGGUCUUCGGAUUGUAAAGCACUUUAAGUUGGGAGGAAGGGCAGUAAGUUAAUACCUUGCUGUUUUGACGUUACCGACAGAAUAAGCACCGGCUAACUUCGUGCCAGCAGCCGCGGUAAUACGAAGGGUGCAAGCGUUAAUCGGAAUUACUGGGCGUAAAGCGCGCGUAGGUGGUUCAGUAAGUUGGAAGUGAAAUCCCCGGGCUCAACCUGGGAACUGCUUUCAAAACUGCUGAGCUAGAGUACGGUAGAGGGUGGUGGAAUUUCCUGUGUAGCGGUGAAAUGCGUAGAUAUAGGAAGGAACACCAGUGGCGAAGGCGACCACCUGGACUGAUACUGACACUGAGGUGCGAAAGCGUGGGGAGCAAACAGGAUUAGAAACCCCAGUAGUCC
This 450-nucleotide ribosomal RNA is filed under the name uncultured bacterium. RNAcentral describes it as "partial 16S ribosomal RNA". It matches the Rfam family "Bacterial small subunit ribosomal RNA", at positions 354 to 796 of the family's 1533-position model. The record is from RNAcentral.